CAGGUUGAAGUCAGGGGAAACUCUGAUGGAGGACCGUACGGGUUAUUGAUGUGCAAAUCAUUUUUCUGAUGUAGGUAAAGGUGCGAAAGACUCAUCGAACCACCUAAUAGCUGGUUUCCUCCGAAGUUUCCCUCAAGAUAGCUGUAAUGCAUUUAGUUAAGGGGAGUAGAGAUAUGGGUAGAGGUGCAGGGAGCCUUCGGGUUCUCAACUUAUUUCCAAACUUCGAACCUCCUUGUUAGGCAUUUACCUAACUGGAAAUGCUUAAAUGAAUUAGCGUUACAAGUGGGCUCUGACCGGUAAGCGGUCAUGGCGAAAUGGGAUGAACCAUACGUCUGAAUAAGGUGCCGAAAUGUACUAUCACUGAUACCAUAAAGGGAGUCCAUGUAUUUAGACAGCAGGUCGGUGCCCCUAAAAGCAGGUAUCCGCUAAAGAGUGUGUUAAAACUCACCUGCCGAAUACUAGGGCCCCGAAAAUGAAUGGCGCAUAUAGUACUACCGAUCUCAGACAUCAGUUCUAUUGAACUGAGAGUAGGGGGAUGUGGACAUUUUUGUGAAGGUGCAAUGUGAGUUGGACUGGAAGAAUGUCUAUUACAGAUCCUAAUUGAAGUAGCGAUUAUCCAGGCUUGUAUCCUGGGGGCUGAUGAGGAGUAAGGUUUCUGGACAACUUAAACAGAUCCAGAGUUAGUCGAUCCUAAUCUCAAUAAUGGGAGAAAGGGAGUACAGUUGAUAUUCUGUAACUGACAACAGUUCGCGGCAACGCAUACUAUU
RNAcentral lists this non-coding RNA (767 nucleotides) under Trichomonas vaginalis G3. Its description in RNAcentral is "Eukaryotic large subunit ribosomal RNA". It matches the Rfam family "Eukaryotic large subunit ribosomal RNA", at positions 842 to 1658 of the family's 3401-position model. Lineage: Eukaryota; Parabasalia; Trichomonadida; Trichomonadidae. The record is from Rfam by way of RNAcentral.